AAACCCUCACCAUCGUGAUGCCACAAUCAUGUGUGGUGGACUUGGAUUGUGCCGUGGUUGGCUCAUCCCAAAAUCCAUUAGCUUGCGCCUAUUUAGAGUGCAUGGCACGGUGUGAUAAUUAUCUGCGUCGUUGCCUGGGGCCUCUUUGGUGUGCGCUGCUUACAGCCGUCCCCAUGGGACAACGUGUUUUAAAGCU
Molecule: unclassified non-coding RNA, 196 nt
Filed under: uncultured Auriculariales
Lineage: Eukaryota; Fungi; Basidiomycota; Agaricomycetes; Auriculariales
Description: sequence contains ITS2
Source: RNAcentral